AGUUUAUGGUCUCAAUCGCUAGUUUCAAGUCUUCUUCAAUACAGUAUGAUGUUCAUUUAGUAAAUUAUGGUCCCAUUUAGAGUCAAAUAGACCAUAAAGCAGGGGAUGCUUUGGGGCGGGGCAACUUUGUGAUUGACAACUUUAACCAUUUCACGAUGUUGUACGGUUUGGGAGUUGUUCCGUGUUUCCAU
This is a long non-coding RNA of Sebastes umbrosus (honeycomb rockfish), 191 nucleotides long. RefSeq lists it as uncharacterized. The transcript is spliced from 4 exons. NCBI's taxonomy places the organism in Eukaryota, Metazoa, Chordata, Actinopteri, Perciformes, Sebastidae. The record is from RefSeq and is a predicted model, not a curated record.